This is a non-coding RNA of Nicotiana tabacum (common tobacco), 4027 nucleotides long. Lineage: Eukaryota; Viridiplantae; Streptophyta; Magnoliopsida; Solanales; Solanaceae. The record is from RefSeq and is a predicted model, not a curated record.
UCUCGUGGCUGACUUCCUUCCCAUUAAUAAUAGAUAGAUAGAUGGCUGACAUCCUUCCUAUUAAUAAUAGAUAGAUAGAAGAUUGGCGAAUUCUAUAACUUUUGAGGAUGAAAGGGUAACUUGUAGUAUCUUUGGGUGCCAAAUUUCAAAGUUAACUCAUUCUUAAACCGCUCCUCCCAUGUUCCCUCCUCAUGCCAUUGCGAUUCUUUCUAUAGGCGAAGAUCUCAGUGAAUCAGCCUUCAAUCUACAAAGCAUAUAUGUCGCUGUCGUGAUGUUGAAGUUUGCACAAGACCUGCCUUGGAUGGAGAGUGCCUUUGCUUAUUGAAAUUUAAUAUUUUUUUAUGGUUUAUGGAAAAUUAAGAUUUUAGUUUUCUUGGUUGUCGCUAAAUAGGGGUUCAAAGCAUAUUUGAUCUUGUUUCUUGAAUUGAUAUAGAUAUUUCUCUGGAUAUCAAAAGUAAAGAAGAACUGCACAAGUGCUCCCUGCAGCUUAAGAUUAUUUCAUUAUCGGUGUGAGAAUUCAUUAUUUGUUUGACACUACAUAUUUUGAGUCAAUUAUUUACUAGUAGUAACUCGUAGAGAAGUGACACAAUUUAAUAUAGUAUUGUUUACCUGUUUGGUUUUCCUCCAUAGUAGUAUUUUAUAUCCACAAUGUUCAAAUAGGCAGCCACAUGGAGUUGGAUUUCAUGGGCUUCGAGCUUGUUCGGCUUGAUUUGGCAAUGCGACUAUGUAAUCAUUCUCUAAUACACUCCAUCGAUGGAAGUAGUCAGUAACAUUUAGCACCUUUUACUGGUAGGACCUCUGUUUUCUCGUUCUCUUUGGUGUACUGAAAAAGAAAUGACAUUCCUAAUUGAAGCUAAUGCAAACAAAUGUGUGUUCAUAGUUUUAUAUAUCCGUGUGCUUAUGUAUUCCCUUUCUCCCAGUUUAGAUGUCCUAAGGGAUCACUUGUUUCACAUGUUAGCUAUGCUAGAAUUAAAAAGCAAGAUUGUUUAUGUUGUGAAUAAUAACGAAGGGAUAGUUAUAAAAUAUUACAUAGAUUCCCACAUAAUUUAAUGCAUGUAUUGUUUAAUAUCGUCAACACCCGCUGGAUCAGGUUAUGCGGGGAUUAUAUUUUCUUAUAUGGCCUACCAAACACUGCAUUGCUAUCUUGAUUGUGAAAAAGAGAUUCAACAGCUAGAAACUGAAAUAUAUUAUUUGUAGUAUCUGUUUGUUGUUGUUCAGAAAAGGAAAAAGGUAAUGUGUUGGGUGAAACCCCCCCAAAACAGCAACUUCUAGUGGUCCAUUGUUUACCAUACUAACAAAAGCUUCCAUCAAAAUGUUGGCGGUGUUAGACGAACCCACAGGAAGAUUCAGUGCCUUAGAAAAAGACUCACUCUGAGCAGUCUGAGAGACUCACAAAGAAAAAAGAGAGGCAGUGAGAUUGAGAGAGUGAGGGCUGUGGCAAAUGCAAUGCAUAGCUAAUCAACAGUGCAUUUCUGAAGACAUUUCUGACUAUCAUGUGUGUGUGUGUCUGCUCCCUUUAGAUUCUACUACGACUAUUUAACUACUACUGCUACUGCAUCUGAAUGACUUGUUGGUUCCCCAAGUACAUGCAAGCAUGGCCGUCAAGUAAUAAAGUAACUUUACAGUCGGAUGUCGAAUCAACAAAGAUUUAUAAUAAUUGUUAACUAAGCUAGCUAAAAUCAAUUAACUGCCCAAGGUAAUCAAGAGUGAUGAUUUUUCUACUAAACUACUUUUGCAGAAAUUAAACAAAUAAUUAACUAAACUAACACGAAGCAAGAGAUUGUGAUUGGAUUUUAAUCAGAGGAGAUGAAGAUUCCAGGAUUGUAGUCAGUUUAUCAAUCCUAUUGAGUUCGUGAUUACACCUGUUAAUCCGAAUUAUCUGUGGUUGCUAGUUGACCGAAUCAUUUAUAUAAAUAGCAUGUUCCCAUAGUACUAUUCAUCUAUCCACAAUAUAUCAACCCUGUAUUCUUUCGAUGGACGAAUUAAUUACAACAUUCAACUAAGUGAGACGGUUAGGUAUAUUCCUAUUCUAACCGCGAAAUCCUUCCCCGAGCCACGGGUUCAGAAACAAGCUCUCUCUAAUUCUACUCUAAUAUUAGCAUGGCUUUUCCAAGCAUAGUGCAUAUAGUGGGAUGAAUCAGUAGCUACAACAGUUCACAAGUUAAAACUAGAAUUAAAAGAAACAACCUUGUGACAACCACAACCCUAGAAAAUAGAGUACUUAGCCACUCAUAAUUGUAGUAAUAAUUACACAAGUGUUUUGCAUAAAUAAGUUACUAAGAAUAGAUGAAGGAAUGAGGAACUCGAUGAUUUUCUCCUCCAAAAUUGCUCCACACGAUAUUCUAGCCUCCAGAAAUCGUCCAACCCCCAAAAAGUAGGUUUAGAACCCCUUUUACACUUGUUGGGGACACGUAGGACCGAAAAGCCCCUCUCCAAGUCGAAAUAGAAGGUUUCCUGGAAGUAGGGUAGGCGACAGGAUGGACGCAGGGCACCCACCUGGACGGUGAAUUAUUUUAAGCCUGCCUUUGGCGUUUUGGUUGCAGGACACCCAACUUUUGCUUCUGCUGAAUUUGGCGUUUUGGUUGGCGCCUUGCGCCCUUCUGGACGCCAAACUUUGCACUUCUUCCGAAUUCCUUCCUUUUCGGCUUUAAUUUGCGCAGAUUCCUCCCAAAUCACUUCCAAUCGACCCCUACCAACAUAAACACCAAAAUUAAGCUCAAGUCAUUCCAUUACACAUUAGAAUUAACAAUAGUUGGGCAAAAAUGUAAGGCACUUAGUAUGCAAAAACACGGAUUUUUAGCCAAACAUCACCUAUGGUUGGCAUUUUUGAAAAUGAGAUAAAAUCAGGUAGCAGAAUCCAAUUUUAAAAUAGCACAACUGUGUUUUUAUUUAAGAAUCUUAUUUUUUCUUAGUUAAGAAAGAGGUUAAUGCUUAUCCUAUAUGUAGUACUGUACUCUUGAUUUUCAUGCUGAUGUUAAUGACUUUUUGAGGAGCUUGGAAUUAAGUGGAAACUAGAGGAACAAAAGCAGGAGCUAGAGGAUGUCUUUUUGGAGCAUGUGGAAUGAGUUUUGUGGUUUCUUACUUGUACGGUGCUCUUAUCUUUAUAAUAUUGAAUCUAAGAAAUAUUUACUUGUCACUAGAUAUGCAGCAACUUGAUAUGUCAUAAGUGGGAUUAUUAGGCGAGUUAUUAGGGGUUCCGUAGUUAAAUGGGAAUGGAAAGAGCAAUGUUUUGGUUUAUAUCUCUGUAAAAUAUUGGAUGCUUUUUUCCACUCGAUGAUAUGGUAUCAAAGAAGCACUUCAAACUUUGUUUGGGUGGAGCAAUUGAGUACAAAACAAUUUGUGGCUGUAUUCUUCAUAGAUAUUUAUUCAUAUGAACUUUUGUCCUAUUACAUCAAUGAUUAUUACUUCUUUGCAGUUCCAAAUGAAACAAAUUGUGAAGAUUUUGACGAUAGUUUUUGGGGUAUAUGCCCUUUGGAUAGGGUUGCUGCAGACAUCAGUGGUUCCAGAGAGCUAUACUUGGCUGGUGAGCUCUUAUUGACAAUGAUUUCCUCUUCAGCAUUUGCUUAUUAUGUUUUUCCACUUUGUAAAUGUUCAAAAGUUGAUGUUGUAGUUGCCUCUAUACUUCAUUGUGUCCCUUGGAUGCUACGGUCUCUUAAUGGUAGGUGUUGGUCUCAUGAAAUUUCCCACGUGCCCGCAAGAAGCUGUUUUCUUACAGCAGUUUCUAAGUUUGAAUUGGAAAAUUGAGUUUUGUAAAAAAUAGUAUUUUGUUUGGAUUGGCUGUUGUUGCAAAUGAUUGCGAAUAUCCUUUGGAGUUUAUGUCUCAAUUUUGCUGGAGUUCGGUGAAGAUUAGAGUUGGUUUUGGUGGGAAUUUCAAAUUGAAACUCGAAGAAAAAGAAGAACAAUGAUGUAUAAAUAAGUUAUACUGUAUUUUGUAUAUCAAGUGUAUCACACUGGACAUACAAAUAACAUACAAUAAUAUAAUUGUAUGCAAGUUGUAUGUGGGCUUCUUUUCCCUGAUUGUAUACAA